CCAAAAGAUCGAAUGGGGAGAUUCAUCGUCAGCUGCUUUGGCUUUCGUGUGGUGCGCGAUGAUCGGGGCCUCGUGCUCUGCGUCACGUGCCCGCUGCGGUAUGUCCGAAGUAGUCGGCGUGCACUUCUCCCCUAGUAGGACGUCGCGACCCGUUGGGUGCUGGUCUACGGCCCGGUAGGUCGACUGGCGAGUCUCGUUCACGCGUGCACUCGUCAGACCUCUGGAUGCCCGACCGGCUGCCCGGCGGUAUAGAACGAUAAUUAAACGGUAUUGGGCCGCAUUAAGUGCGUUCAGGCUCGUCGGCAGGCUCGCCUCGCUCGGAUUUACGGACCUAGUGCCGUUGCCGAGCGCUUGGUGUGGCUGUUGGUCGACGAUGUCCUUGGACUGGCUCUUUAUAUUCGAAUGGAUAUACCGGUCGGCGACGCUACUGCUUUGGGUACUUUCAGGAC
This 449-nucleotide ribosomal RNA is filed under the name Encarsia flavoscutellum. Its description in RNAcentral is "eukaryotic LSU rRNA". The record is from RNAcentral. Lineage: Eukaryota; Metazoa; Arthropoda; Insecta; Hymenoptera; Aphelinidae.